GACUCAGUGGUACAAUGGCAAAGCGUUAUCUGCGAUGGUAAAGAUUCCUGGGUUCGAUCUCCGGUGGGGACG
This 72-nucleotide transfer RNA is filed under the name Schistosoma japonicum. RNAcentral's name for it is "tRNA-OTHER". Lineage: Eukaryota; Metazoa; Platyhelminthes; Trematoda; Strigeidida; Schistosomatidae. The record is from RNAcentral.